RNAcentral lists this ribosomal RNA (549 nucleotides) under uncultured bacterium. Its description in RNAcentral is "bacterial SSU rRNA". It matches the Rfam family "Bacterial small subunit ribosomal RNA", at positions 356 to 896 of the family's 1533-position model. The record is from RNAcentral.
AGGGAAUCUUCCGCAAUGGGCGAAAGCCUGACGGAGCAACGCCGCGUGAGUGAUGAAGGUCUUCGGAUCGUAAAACUCUGUUAUUAGGGAAGAACAUAUGUGUAAGUAACUGUGCACAUCUUGACGGUACCUAAUCAGAAAGCCACGGCUAACUACGUGCCAGCAGCCGCGGUAAUACGUAGGUGGCAAGCGUUAUCCGGAAUUAUUGGGCGUAAAGCGCGCGUAGGCGGUUUUUUAAGUCUGAUGUGAAAGCCCACGGCUCAACCGUGGAGGGUCAUUGGAAACUGGAAAACUUGAGUGCAGAAGAGGAAAGUGGAAUUCCAUGUGUAGCGGUGAAAUGCGCAGAGAUAUGGAGGAACACCAGUGGCGAAGGCGACUUUCAGGUCUGUAACUGACGCUGAUGUGCGAAAGCGUGGGGAUCAAACAGGAUUAGAUACCCUGGUAGUCCACGCCGUAAACGAUGAGUGCUAAGUGUUAGGGGGUUUCCGCCCCUUAGUGCUGCAGCUAACGCAUUAAGCACUCCGCCUGGGGAGUACGACCGCAAGGUUG